RNAcentral lists this ribosomal RNA (558 nucleotides) under uncultured bacterium. RNAcentral describes it as "partial 16S ribosomal RNA". It matches the Rfam family "Bacterial small subunit ribosomal RNA", at positions 355 to 902 of the family's 1533-position model. The record is from RNAcentral.
UGGGGAAUAUUGCACAAUGGGCGCAAGCCUGAUGCAGCCAUGCCGCGUGUGUGAAGAAGGCCUUCGGGUUGUAAAGCACUUUCAGCGAGGAGGAAGGCGGUGAGCUUAAUACGCUCAUCAAUUGACGUUACUCGCAGAAGAAGCACCGGCUAACUCCGUGCCAGCAGCCGCGGUAAUACGGAGGGUGCAAGCGUUAAUCGGAAUUACUGGGCGUAAAGCGCACGCAGGCGGUUUGUUAAGUCAGAUGUGAAAUCCCCGGGCUCAACCUGGGAACUGCAUUUGAAACUGGCAAGCUAGAGUCUCGUAGAGGGGGGUAGAAUUCCAGGUGUAGCGGUGAAAUGCGUAGAGAUCUGGAGGAAUACCGGUGGCGAAGGCGGCCCCCUGGACGAAGACUGACGCUCAGGUGCGAAAGCGUGGGGCAGCAAACAGGAUUAGAUACCCUGGUAGUCCAGCGCUGUAAACGAUGUCGACUUUGGAGGUUGUGCCCUUGAGGCGUGGCUUCCGGAGCUAACGNGUUAAAUCGACCGCCNGGGGAGUACGGCCGCAAGGUUAAAACUC